UCUUCCUUUUAUUUUCCCUUUCUUUCAAACCGUUCCAUUUUUCUCCCUUACCUCUUUGUUCAUCAAACCCUGCUCUCUCUCUGUUUCUCUGGUCUCUCUUCUUCGUUCGAUAGUAUGGAUUGAUAAAAUAUUUUGAUACACAAUGGAUAUACCGUUGAAGGAAGUCUGAGGGGUUUUUGAGGGUUGGUUUUGAUAGUUGAAAAUGGUGACUUUAAACCCAUUUGAUUUACUGGGAGAUGAUGACACUGAAGACCCAUCAUAGCUGAUUGCUGCUCAGAAGGUUCCUGUGGCCGUAGCUAAGAAAACCCAGCUCCUGCAGCAGCUCAGCAGCAGCAAUCCAAGCCGACGGCUAAGCUUCCUUCGAAGCCGCUCCCCCCAGCUCAAGCUGGUUUUUGUCUUGUUUAACAUAAGCGCUAUUUAAGAUUGUGAAAACUUCAAUUAUGUUGGAAGAUUGCUAUGCGCUCCAGUGGUGACUUUUUUUUCGAUUUGCAGCACUCUCGAUUUUCAAGUAAAAGGUUGCCGCUGAAGCUCAAGUCCAUGCAGCUGCUACUGUCUCUCUUGUACCAUUUUUGGAUAGGAAGGGAAAUUUCCUGAGGUCAUGCAAGCUGCACAACCCUGUUAAUGUGCCAGAUUAUCACUCUAUAGACAGAAGCUCAGCUAAAAGGACAUUACAGAUGUAACUAACAAAGACUUCGAUGCAAAAAAAAAAGAUUGGAAAUGAUUCAGAUAGGUUGUCUUCAAUUGAGUCAAAAAGUGCAUUGGUUGGGAAUGAGCCAAAAAAAUGAAGGGUUAUUGUCUGCUACAUCCUCCUCACAUGGCAAGCUGCUGAAGAUUGUAAUGCAAAAAUACAUAAGGAGCUAUCCAAAUGACUAAAAGCCUUUUUAGUGAUAGCCUCUGGAGACCCAAAUUUUCUUCAUAGUGUUUCACUCAGAAAUGCAACGUAAUCUCUGAUGUUUGCUUGUAAGAGAGGUGCUGCACGUUUAUUUGAAGAGUAUAGUGCUCAAACUCGCUCAAAUGAUGAAUAAUGAUAGUGGUGUUUCUGACACAUUACAUUCAUUAUUCAGAGUUUGAAGACUACUGGACCUGUAGGCUUUAAAAGUCCUGUUCACAAUUUUCUUGGAAGAAUUGGCUGCAAGAAGCAUUUGACAAGAUGUCUACCUCUGGCAAAGCUUUAGAACCUGCAUUUCAGAGAGCUGGUCGGAGAGUAGGGACAGAGAUUUGGAGAAUUGAAAACUUCCAACCAGUUCCUUUGCCAAAAUCUGAUCAUCAUAAAUUCUACUCGGGUGAUUCAUACACCAUCUUGCAGACAUCAAUUGCCAAGGAAGCAGCAUAUAUUAUUGUUGGAAUGGCUUUAUCAAAACGGCUGCUAUUGAUGUUGAACAUUAGAGGAAAAGAUUGCUGCAAUGGCUUACGCCAUAUUUUUUGUACGUGUAAGUAGGAUGCUUUGCUGUUCCUGCCAAACAACUUUUAUGUAGCACUGCAGUGGCUUCAGCAAUAAAUUUUGAAUCAGCCAUGCUGCUGUAUAUGUAAAUGCUACACUUGGCUCUUUCUUUUGAACGACUACCAAACAAUUCUUGUACGAUACUCCAAUGACUUUAUCCUUUUGAAUUAUAGCAUCGUAUCAAGACAUUGCUUUUGCA
This is a long non-coding RNA of Coffea eugenioides, 1640 nucleotides long. RefSeq lists it as uncharacterized. The transcript has 11 exons. NCBI's taxonomy places the organism in Eukaryota, Viridiplantae, Streptophyta, Magnoliopsida, Gentianales, Rubiaceae. The record is from RefSeq and is a predicted model, not a curated record.